RNAcentral lists this ribosomal RNA (862 nucleotides) under uncultured bacterium. Its description in RNAcentral is "bacterial SSU rRNA". It matches the Rfam family "Bacterial small subunit ribosomal RNA", at positions 28 to 896 of the family's 1533-position model. The record is from RNAcentral.
GAUGAACGCUAGCGGCAGGCUUAACACAUGCMAGUCGAGGGGUAUAGUWGCAAUACUAGUAGACCGGCGCWCGGGUGCGUAACGCGUAUGCAAUCUACCUUUUACAGAGGGAUAGCCCAGAGAAAUUUGGAUUAAUACCUCAUAGUAUAUUAGAGUGGCAUCACUUUAUUAUUAAAGUUCCAACGGUAAAAGAUGAGCAUGCGUCCUAUUAGCUAGAUGGUAAGGUAACGGCUUACCAUGGCUACGAUAGGUAGGGGUCCUGAGAGGGAGAUCCCCCACACUGGUACUGAGACACGGACCAGACYYMUACGGGAGGCAGCAGUGAGGAAUAUUGGACAAUGGGCGCAAGCCUGAUCCAGCCAUGCCGCGUGCAGGAAGAAGCAUCUAUGGUGUGUAAACUGCUUUUGUACAGGAAGAAACAUCCCGACGUGUCGGGACUUGACGGUACUGUAAGAAUAAGGAUCGGCUAACUCCGUGCCAGCAGCCGCGGUAAUACGGAGGAUCCAAGCGUUAUCCGGAAUCAUUGGGUUUAAAGGGUCCGUAGGCGGUUUGGUAAGUCAGUGGUGAAAGCCCAUCGCUUAACGAUGGAACGGCCAUUGAUACUGCCAGACUUGAAUUAUUGUGAAGUAACUAGAAUAUGUAGUGUAGCGGUGAAAUGCUUAGAUAUUACAUGGAAUACCAAUUGCGAAGGCAGGUUACUAACAAUAUAUUGACGCUGAUGGACGAAAGCGUGGGGAGCGAACAGGAUUAGAUACCCUGGUAGUCCACGCCGUAAACGAUGGAUACUAGCUGUUCGGAGCAAUCUGAGUGGCUAAGCGAAAGUGAUAAGNUAUCCCACCUGGGGAGUACGUUCGCAAGAAUG